GGGCGUUAGCUCAGCUGGGAGAGCGCCAGGUUCGCAAUCUGGAGGUCGAGGGUUCGAAUCCCUUACGCUCC
Molecule: transfer RNA, 71 nt
Filed under: bovine gut metagenome
Rfam family: tRNA
About the family: Transfer RNA (tRNA) molecules are approximately 80 nucleotides in length. Their secondary structure includes four short double-helical elements and three loops (D, anti-codon, and T loops).
Source: RNAcentral